This 3250-nucleotide long non-coding RNA is filed under the name Taeniopygia guttata (zebra finch). RNAcentral's name for it is "lncRNA (ENSTGUG00000020104.1)". Lineage: Eukaryota; Metazoa; Chordata; Aves; Passeriformes; Estrildidae. The record is from RNAcentral.
UUUUUUUUUUUUUUUUUUUUUUACAACUUCUAUACCACAAGCUAUGCUUAUAACAAGUCUAAUUUAUAUAGAGGUACCUUGGUUUUUGACCUCUGUGCACUGCCACAGUGCUGGAUUCCAAGAUAUCAGUUUCCUCUUAUUCAAAUAGAAGGAAUUUGUCAUUCUGGUACACCUGGACUUUUAACAUCAACACUGCCCAGGGUGACUCUGAAAAAACCUGGAAACAGUAGAAAGGACUGAUAUUGGAAGAAGCUAGAAACAGAAACAGACAAGGAAGAGGAAUUAUAAAAUAUUUGAGUGUUAGGUUUAGUUUACUUUUCUUCCCCAAAACUGCACUGAAAAAUUCUGGUCAAUAUGGAUUUAUCCUAUGAAUAUUUCUGCACCAGAGUAAAAAAAAAAAAAAAAAAAUUAAGCAUAGCACUUCAGACCAACUCCAGCUGAAACUUAGGAUGAACCUGAAUAUCUCUGGGUUUGCCUAACCUGUAUUCUUAAUGCUGUUUGUUCUAAGUCAGCAAACCCUCGUUUCUACAGGGUAUGUUUGAAUUUAAGUCCUAAUCCAUAUGAACGACAGCAAGAACACAUAAGAGCAGGAAUCAUAAAUCUAAAGCCUUUUAUUUUAUUUUUCAUUCCCUGAUAAUUCCAUAGCUCUAAGCAUUGUGGCUUCCACAGAAGGUAGCAGCACAUUGCCAGCAGCAUACCUAAUUAAUUCCUCCUCGCUUGUUCCAUGUGGCUUCCUUACCCCCCAUCCAACUGACCUAUUGGUUCUCUUCAAGAUAGACUAAAUUAAUGAUGGUAAAAUCAAGAAAGAAGUGAAUUAUUUAAUUCCAGAAAGUAUCAAAGCUUACAUGAUCCUAGCACUGAGUAGGCCAGAAGGAUCAGUCCAUGGCCUGGGGAUUGUUUUCUUGGGCUCCACCCAGAGUUUCCAUAAAAAUCAAUGGGAAUUUAGAGUGGUAUUCCGUGGGUGACCUUUUGAUUCUCAAGAGGUGCAUAACGCUUGGCAUUUACUCUGUGCAAUGUCUUUCAUGAGAAGGGCUCAAAAUGUCUCUCUACACAAGCCUCACAAUAUCCUCAAGGGGAAAGUAAGCAUUAUCCUCAUUUAAUUAAUGCACUGCCAAAGGCUAAAAUACGUACUAAAGGAGACUGAUCCUUCAAAGUGCACAGUUUGCUCAUAUUCUGGUGAAGAUGGUGGGGAGAUGAGCACCAAACUGGAUUAGCCUCCAAGACCAAGGUCAGUUUUCAUAUCAGAUAUUCUUGGCCAUCAUGCUUCAUCCAGUGUUUGUACUCAGUACCUUAACCCACUGCUGCAUCAAGAUACAAGUGACAGCAACAACAAGAAAUAUUUUAAACUGAUUGUUUGUGGUGGUAUAUGUCCAUAAUCUAUACAAUCCUGAAGCACACCGACCACUAUGGACCCUUUCUCCUGUCAAUCAGCACAGCACAGCAAACAGAAAGUCUCACUGGGAAGCCACCAAUGUGCACAGGACUUGGCUUUAUUCCUGCAUGAGCCAGGACUUGGCAUAUGGCCCUGAGUUAAGUCACCACUCUAAGAUCAUCUGUGCAACUCCUAUCUAUUACCCUGACGCUAAUUAUGAGUAUCUUGCUAUCAGCAAUGUGCUGCCUAAAAGCAAGUAAGCAGGAAGGGGAACUGAGCCAUAGACAAGCUAAGUAACUCCUAAAGUCAUGUAGGAUGUCUACUGUAGCCAGGGAAUUCAACAGAGUUGACUCAGGUCUUUGUGGAAUUGAAAUUCUCUCUAUUGGACCAUACGGAAAGAACAGAGAUGUAGACUUCCCCUUGCUUAUUCUCAUCUGCCAUCCACUCUUUCCUGCCUCCUUUAUGGUCAUAAAGCUGCUUAUUUUCAUUACAUCCUAAGCUCUUCCGGGCUUUCUGUACCUCUGAAGACUUGAUGGCUUGAUUGAGACUCAUAAUAAACAUGUAAGCAGGCAGAUCCCUAAAUUAGCCUGAAAAUCCUGAUAGAUGCAUUGUCAUAAGAAAGGAAAACAGCAGUGGCACUAAAGAAAACUUUGCCAUGAUGCAGACCAAGAACCAAGUGCUCAGAGUUGGAUUGAAACAACAUUUUUUUGUUGUUUUCCCUGCAAAACAGCUAUAAAGCAGAAUUAAGAUAGCAUGUCACUGAAAAUAGGCUCUCUCCUAUGGAGGAUAAUGCCUACCAUUAUCUUAGAACCAUUUGCUGCUCUAUAUUCAAAGAACUCCUGAGUCUCUACAAUAGGUGGCCUAAUUGCAAACAUUUGGUGUUAACAUUUGAUGACCAGAAGCAGAGCAACCCCAAGGUGUAUUUCAGAACAGUACGUAGGUUUUCUUUGCUCCAGGGGCUGUACAAGGCAUACAUUAGAAGGUGAUGAGCUAACUACAAUCUUCUUGGAAGGUUUUAUGACUGUACCAAGUUUAAAGAGUUGCUGCUAAAUGCACCUCAGACAGGCCCAGGUGUAAGACCAAGUCACCUAUAGGUACUCUGACAAAGUCACUUUGAACUGGAGAAUGAGGAUUUCAGGAUCUGAAGCUGAAUAAAAGUGGCAGUGAAGAGGAGGGACAACUCAGUAAGUCAACCUCCAGUUAUAAAACUACUGAGCAUGUGUGCUGGAGGUAACUGAGUGCAGCCUUGAAAAUGUUAGUGGUGGAGAAAUCCUAAACAUGACAGCCUGAUUAAUGCCAAAAGGCUUCUUCAAAACUUGAUUCUCCAGGUCUGUGUUUGUGUUGUGUUUGGCCACAAGUUCAGUUGCUAGUAAAGUAAAGGUUUUGUUGCAACAAAAUCUCAGCUCUGAGAACUUGCAAGUUGUUCAGGAAAGUAAUGAAAUUUUAAUAUUCAAUGUUUCUGGAAUGUUUGUGAGUUACUUUCUUUUAUUAUUAUUUAAAUUUGUAUUUUAUUUUAGUAAUUCUCUCUAAUCUUUUAUGCUUGGUACUGAAAGAUAUUUAGACAAAGUAUAUUUUGACAAAAGUUUUCUAUUUUUUUUUUUAAUCUAACAUAGUUUUCUAUUCCUUUUUUUUCUUUUUAAUCUAACAUUUCAUGAGCAGGCUACCAUAUUUAAACAGGGUUAAUACAUAGUGUUUAUGAAAGAAAAAGACUCAUGUAAGUCUUCUGUCAGAGUAUUCUCUUUCAUUUGUGGUUAGGUAUUCCUUAGUGUGUGCUCCAACCAAGAGCACAGUUAUAAGCCUAUAAACAACAUGACCCAUUAAAAUUCAACGCUAGCUACUAGUUAUAUAUUGUUACUUACUAUUUUCUUUAUUAUAUUA